Molecule: transfer RNA, 72 nt
Filed under: Camelus bactrianus (Bactrian camel)
Lineage: Eukaryota; Metazoa; Chordata; Mammalia; Artiodactyla; Camelidae
Also listed under: 1 other name
Rfam family: tRNA
About the family: Transfer RNA (tRNA) molecules are approximately 80 nucleotides in length. Their secondary structure includes four short double-helical elements and three loops (D, anti-codon, and T loops). Further hydrogen bonds mediate the characteristic L-shaped molecular structure. tRNAs have two regions of fundamental functional importance: the anti-codon, which is responsible for specific mRNA codon recognition, and the 3' end, to which the tRNAs corresponding amino acid is attached (by aminoacyl-tRNA synthetases). tRNAs cope with the degeneracy of the genetic code in two manners: having more than one tRNA (with a specific anti-codon) for a particular amino acid; and 'wobble' base-pairing, i.e. permitting non-standard base-pairing at the 3rd anti-codon position.
Source: Rfam by way of RNAcentral
GUGGGUAUAGUUCAGUGGUAGAGUGUGUGUUUAGCAUGCACGAGGUCCUGGGUUCAGGCCCCAGUACUUCCA